CAGAGGUGCAGGGAGAGAGAAGGGGAGUAGGGAAAGAGAGAGAUAUGUGGGUUUGGGAGAGGCAGAUGACAUGAGACGAGAAAGGACAUAUAAUGAAACUUUUUCUGAGGAUAUAUGUAGCAGUAGUCAGACCUGUCUGAUGUAUGUGGUCUUGGUGUGGUGCAAUGACAGAAACCCCUUUACUGACACUGCAGCACAAUAGUAAAGAUAUAUAGCUGACAAGAGGUCAUCAUCCUGUCAUGUCUACAGAUGGUUCUGCUGCUGCCAACACAAAUACAUCACCCAGAGCCCACCCACACAACAGACACAGUCACAGCCUUUAUUAUAUAAAAACUCACAAUUUACACUGAGUAUCCUGACCAGGGCUAAACAAGAGAGAGCUCUAAUAAAUAAACAAUCCAGGAUCCAGAAACACACUGCACAGCUGCAUCAACCUGCCUCGAGGACACAGACAGAGUGAAAGAAGCCACGUGACGUCAGCUGACCUGCUCCAGCAGGAUUCUUUUUUACAAACAAGAAAAACUUUAAUCAGUAAAACAAAAACGAACACUGCAGGUCAGCAGAUAGCGGCUCUGUGCUGCCCGGAGGGCUGUUAACGGCAGCUAAACCUGACGAAGCGGGCACAGGAGGAAAGGGGCAGCGAUGCAUCAGAGUGGAGCGGAGUGGCUCAGGUCAUUGGCGGAGAACAAAGAAGAAGCAGCUACAGAGUAGACAUCCAGCAGUAGAUGGCAGGCUUAAGGAAGAAGAUAACAGCAGGAUAGCAGCAAUUGGUAUCUACUCAAUUAUGUUCCAUGACCUGCCCAGGUUGGUCGAUAUUGGAACCUAUCCUCCGGAGUGUUAACAUCUGAAAUAGAGAUAUAGCUAUGGUUGUGGUCAUUAUGUCCCCACGGUGUAUUGUCUAAGAAUGGAUACGCCCAUAUCCACCUUCUUCUAUAUUAGAGGAGAUUUCAAAGGGACGGAUUACGGUAAUGUUUACCCGUCUUGGAGAAUGCAUCUGCUGGUUAUUACUAAUCGCCAUGUUGUUUGCAAUAUUUUACAAAUUAUUGAUUAAUACUGAUGUUACCGUAUUUGAAAUAUAUGAAAACAGUUUCCCUUUUAUAUAGCUCUUAUGUUUUAGGGAGCGAGGGAGGGUGUGUUACCCUACCAUGACCCCUUGUGUUACUUCUUCUGGCAACCUCAGAUAGCAUCCUUGAGUUGCCUUUUGUCCUUCUAUUUUUUUCUUUAUUUAUUCUUCCCUGCUUUUUCCUAUAACUGCCCCUAAUUUGAUAUGUUGGGUAUUGAUUUUGGUUUUUUAUCUCAUAUCUAGAGUCUAAGGAUUCCACGUAAAUCCCCACCCGAAACUCGAUUUGCUCCAUUUAUAUUACGGCAAUAUGUCAAGUAACAAUAGGUAUAUAAUGAGUCAUAUCCUCAUUACAACUAAAAUAUUAAAAGCGCGCCAUUGGCGCACAUCUUUAAUCCCCUCAAUGGAUGCUAUAUAAAAUGUGGUUCAUUCUCAUUGUGCGUUUAAAAUGGCUGGAGCAGCUUAUUACUCCUCUGCCAAUUGUCCUCAUCUUAUAUGGUUUCAGUGGAACAACUACAGGGCCUUGAAAAAGGGGUGGUAGUCAUGUGACCGCCGGUCGGCUGACCGACAGUCACAUGACCUCCUCCGUGAGCCAGACAGCUCACUAUCCCGAUGGUCGGCAUGCCGACCAACAGGAACUAUUUCCACUCGUGGGUGUCCACGACACCCAUAGAGUGGGAAUAGAAACCGCGGCGACCACAGGUCGCCACCGAGCCCGCAGCGUGGCGAGCGCAGCGAGCCCGCAAGGGGCUUGCUGCACUCGCCCCUCCCCGCCGGGAUCCCAGUGUCGGUAUGCUUCCGGGAUCCCGGCGUCGGUAAGGUGACCGGCGGUCAGGAGACCGCCGGUCACCCAUACUACACCCUUGAAAAAGAGUUAGGGAGGCUUCCUCCACUUAUAUCUCAGAUUCAGUGCUAAUAUAUAGUGAUCCCUCUAUUUUUGUCAUUUAUUUCUAUAUUCAUCGAAUGUACGUUGCGUGUCUCUAGAACAGUGUACUUAUUAAUGGAAUCUCUUGAUGACAUGUUGAAUUGUUCAUGUAACUACACUUGAAUCUCCAUACUAUACUGUGUGCCUAUUUUACUAUAUGUACUUAUAUACCCCUUUCCCCCAUUUUCCCCUCCUUUCUUUUUGUAUUCCCCCAUACUAUGAUGUUUAUAUGUUGAAAAACGUCAAUAAAAAUUCAAUAAUAAAAAUUAAAAUGUAAAA
Long non-coding RNA from Pseudophryne corroboree (corroboree frog), 2264 nucleotides. RefSeq lists it as uncharacterized. The record is from RefSeq and is a predicted model, not a curated record. The transcript is spliced from 4 exons. Lineage: Eukaryota; Metazoa; Chordata; Amphibia; Anura; Myobatrachidae.